RNAcentral lists this ribosomal RNA (803 nucleotides) under Streptomyces sp. RNAcentral describes it as "bacterial SSU rRNA". It matches the Rfam family "Bacterial small subunit ribosomal RNA", at positions 67 to 883 of the family's 1533-position model. The record is from RNAcentral. Lineage: Bacteria; Bacillati; Actinomycetota; Actinomycetes; Kitasatosporales; Streptomycetaceae.
CGAUGAACCUCCUUCGGGAGGGGAUUAGUGGCGAACGGGUGAGUAACACGUGGGCAAUCUGCCCUGCACUCUGGGACAAGCCCUGGAAACGGGGUCUAAUACCGGAUAUGAGCCUGGGAGGCAUCUCCCGGGUUGUAAAGCUCCGGCGGUGCAGGAUGAGCCCGCGGCCUAUCAGCUUGUUGGUGAGGUAACGGCUCACCAAGGCGACGACGGGUAGCCGGCCUGAGAGGGCGACCGGCCACACUGGGACUGAGACACGGCCCAGACUCCUACGGGAGGCAGCAGUGGGGAAUAUUGCACAAUGGGCGCAAGCCUGAUGCAGCGACGCCGCGUGAGGGAUGACGGCCUUCGGGUUGUAAACCUCUUUCAGCAGGGAAGAAGCGAAAGUGACGGUACCUGCAGAAGAAGCGCCGGCUAACUACGUGCCAGCAGCCGCGGUAAUACGUAGGGCGCAAGCGUUGUCCGGAAUUAUUGGGCGUAAAGAGCUCGUAGGCGGCUUGUCACGUCGGAUGUGAAAGCCCGGGGCUUAACCCCGGGUCUGCAUUCGAUACGGGCAGGCUAGAGUUCGGUAGGGGAGAUCGGAAUUCCUGGUGUAGCGGUGAAAUGCGCAGAUAUCAGGAGGAACACCGGUGGCGAAGGCGGAUCUCUGGGCCGAUACUGACGCUGAGGAGCGAAAGCGUGGGGAGCGAACAGGAUUAGAUACCCUGGUAGUCCACGCCGUAAACGGUGGGCACUAGGUGUGGGCAACAUUCCACGUUGUCCGUGCCGCAGCUAACGCAUUAAGUGCCCCGCCUGGGGAGUAC